UUUGCUGUGGCAAACAUACAUGUGGUACUUUCAAACGUGUAUGAUAAUGCUUUUAUUCCCAAAUACAUGUUCAAUUUCAGAGGCAAGAUGGACAGCAAUAGUCUCCAGGGUCCUUUCUCCUUCCCUGUGUAUCCCCGUGCUUAUUGGUUCAUUUUACUCCAAGAACACACCUGUCCCCAUUUCUGCUGUUGAUCCGUCGUUUUCCUCUGGUUUCACAGUAAUGGGAUUUC
Molecule: long non-coding RNA, 230 nt
Organism: Haliotis rubra (blacklip abalone)
Lineage: Eukaryota; Metazoa; Mollusca; Gastropoda; Lepetellida; Haliotidae
Exons: 3
Source: RefSeq, a predicted model, not a curated record